RNAcentral lists this long non-coding RNA (847 nucleotides) under Octopus sinensis (East Asian common octopus). Its description in RNAcentral is "uncharacterized LOC118761600, transcript variant X4". Lineage: Eukaryota; Metazoa; Mollusca; Cephalopoda; Octopoda; Octopodidae. The record is from RNAcentral.
UCUGGUAUAGUGGUUGCGAGAUAUCUCGCCAGCCAGGGAGCGGACUUUCACCAUAAAAACAACAAAAUAACACACCAUUGGACCUCAUUAAGGACCCAAAUUUGAGAAAAAAAUUAGAAGCAUUUUUACCACCACAAUGUUUGUUGUGCAGAAAUAAAGAGGCCACAACAAAAGUUCAUCCCUGUGAACACCUUCUGACAUGUGAAGAAUGUUCAAACGUUCCACUUAAACGAUGCCUGAGGUGUUUGAAACCUGUAACAAGCAGAGGUCGAGUUGAGUCUCGAAACCUGAAUGGGAAGUAUCUCAAAAGAGCAGCAGAGAAGUUAGGGAGCAACUGGCAGCAAGCAGGUGAGUAUAGAAUACCUAUUUGCUUUCUAUAAAUGUUGCCAUUACUUGAAGUUUGUUUGUUAAAAUGACAACGAAAAAGUUCCAUUCGUAAUUUCCUGUUGAAAUGUUAGCUAAAGAUAUUACUGAAACUUCAUAAAAUAUCCACCGAAAUUAGCAUAGUUUUGCAUACUUGGUGAAAUUAGGAAAUACAAUAGAGUUGAUACAAGGAACGAAGUUCUAUUGUUGUUUAAAGGCAAACAGGUGAGUUAAUAGCGAUACUUCUGUUGUUUACGUUGUUUACGUUUCUACUUAAUUUAAUGAUAGAUUGUUGUUGUUGUUGUGUAGACUUAAUCUGGCAAUAUUAUGAAGAAAGGUGUUCCAGGUGUGACGUAACGGCUUCACCUGGGAGACAAGGACCAAAUUACCAAAUGGAACUUUUUAAACAGGAGAGUGUGCAUUUUAUGUGACAUGUUGUAGUCUGCCCUUUCGCCAGUCUGUUUUCCUAUAUUUUUAGUAAUUC